GAUGAACGCUAGCGAUAGGCUUAACACAUGCAAGUCGAGGGGCAGCAUGGUCUUAGCUUGCUAAGGCUGAUGGCGACCGGCGCACGGGUGCGUAACGCGUAUGCAACUUGCCUCACAGAGGGGGAUAACCCGUCGAAAGACGGACUAAUACCGCGUACACUCUAUGUUGGGCAUCCAAUGUAGAGGAAAUGAAAUUCGCUGUGAGAUAGGCAUGCGUCCCAUUAGCUAGUUGGUGAGGUAACGGCUCACCAAGGCGACGAUGGGUAGGGGAACUGAGAGGUUGAACCCCCACACUGGUACUGAGACACGGACCAGACUCCUACGGGAGGCAGCAGUGAGGAAUAUUGGUCAAUGGGCGAGAGCCUGAACCAGCCAAAUCGCGUGAAGGAUGACUGUCUUAUGGAUUGUAAACUUCUUUUAUACGGGAAUAACAAGAGUCACGUGUGGCUCCCUGCAUGUACCGUAUGAAUAAGCAUCGGCUAACUCCGUG
Molecule: ribosomal RNA, 490 nt
Filed under: uncultured bacterium
Lineage: Bacteria
Description: partial 16S ribosomal RNA
Rfam family: Bacterial small subunit ribosomal RNA
Source: RNAcentral